AUUGAACGCUGGCGGAAUGCUUUACACAUGCAAGUCGAACGGCAGCACGGAGAGCUUGCUCUCUGGUGGCGAGUGGCGAACGGGUGAGUAAUAUAUCGGAACGUGUCCAAUAAUGGGGGAUAACGAGUCGAAAGAUUCGCUAAUACCGCAUACGAUCUAUGGAUGAAAGCGGGGGAUCGCAAGACCUCGCGCGAUUGGAGCGGCCGAUAUCAGAUUAGGUAGUUGGUAGGGUAAAGGCCUACCAAGCCAACGAUCUGUAGCUGGUCUGAGAGGACGACCAACCACACUGGAACUGAGACACGGUCCAGACUCCUACGGGAGGCAGCAGUGGGGAAUUUUGGACAAUGGGGGAAACCCUGAUCCAGCCAUUCCGCGUGUGCGAUGAAGGCCUUCGGGUUGUAAAGCACUUUUGGCAGGAAAGAAAUCGCACAAAUUAAUACUUUGUGUGGAUGACGGUACCUGCAGAAUAAGCACCGGCUAACUACGUGCCAGCAGCCGCGGUAAUACGUAGGGUGCAAGCGUUAAUCGGAAUUACUGGGCGUAAAGCGUGCGCAGGCGGUUCGGAAAGAGAGGUGUGAAAUCCCAGGGCUUAACCUUGGAACUGCACUUUUAACUCCCGAGCUAGAGUAUGUCAGAGGGGGGUGGAAUUCCGCGUGUAGCAGUGAAAUGCGUAGAUAUGCGGAGGAACACCGAUGGCGAAGGCAGCCCCCUGGGAUAAUACUGACGCUCAUGCACGAAAGCGUGGGGAGCAAACAGGAUUAGAUACCCUGGUAGUCCACGCCCUAAACGAUGUCAACUAGCUGUUGGGGGCUUCGGCCCUUAGUAGCGCAGCUAACGCGUGAAGUUGACCGCCUGGGGAGUACGGUCGCAGAAUUA
Molecule: ribosomal RNA, 876 nt
Filed under: uncultured bacterium
Lineage: Bacteria
Description: bacterial SSU rRNA
Rfam family: Bacterial small subunit ribosomal RNA
Source: RNAcentral